RNAcentral lists this non-coding RNA (578 nucleotides) under Pongo abelii (Sumatran orangutan). The record is from RNAcentral. Lineage: Eukaryota; Metazoa; Chordata; Mammalia; Primates; Hominidae.
ACCUCAAUUCAUCAGGAGAGACCUAGUGUGGGUGUAGGGGUGCCUGAGGAGAAAGGGGUGCUGGUUCUUCCUUAUAUCAUAUCCCCUGCCUGCCUCAGCUGGGCUCUGACCCAGCCAGCAGACUGGAGUCCUCUUCUGCAUGAUAAGGAAACUGAGGCUUAGAGGAGUUAUGAAACUGCCCAAGGUUUCACAGCUGAAAUGUAUAAGGACCUGGACUUGCAAAUUUGGCACAAAGUUCUUCUAAUAAGAGGCCAUAAAAUAACCAAAUGAUUUUUUAUGUGCCUAUAGAACCAAAAGAACUAUUUCAGAAUGUCAGCUGAAAAGCACGAUAUUCCAGGUAGCUUAGAAACCUUGGCAUAGUGCCUUCCUGGAAAUCCUGGAUUGCAUCUAAAACCAUGUGGCAGAGGGAGAAACCACAGACAGGCCAUCCUGAGAAGACUCAGGCUGAGAUGAAAGCUCUGCUCUCCAGGGACAAAGCAGCAGGGGACCAGCCAUGCUCAGAGAUACUCCACUGGCCAGUGCACAUUUUUUUGAGCAAUUUCACUUGCUUCCACACCACCUGCCCCCCUAACACUUCU